RNAcentral lists this long non-coding RNA (456 nucleotides) under Lactuca sativa (garden lettuce). RNAcentral's name for it is "long non-coding RNA (LSAT_LNC001794)". Lineage: Eukaryota; Viridiplantae; Streptophyta; Magnoliopsida; Asterales; Asteraceae. The record is from RNAcentral.
ACUGAGCAUACCAAACACCUUGAAUUUUAACAUCUUUAGGGACUUUUGCACCCAAAUCAGUAUCGGAGGGCUGAAUGCUCUCAAACACUCCGAUCACUUCACCGGUGUCAGGUUUGGUUGAGGUGACACUCAAAGUGAUCUUCCCUGUUGACGCUGCAACAUUCUUUACAUUUUCUUUGGAAAGCUCCUCUUCAUCUCCUCUCCCACCCGCCGGUAAAGCAACGGCGUUGUCAUACCCGGUGGAACCACCUCUUCCCUUUGGGUCGAGAAACGAAGACCCUCUGUACGACGGGACUAGAAAUUCCCCACCGAAGCUUUCCGGUUUACCGGAGGCGACAAGUUGUUUGAUCGUGAACAGGAAUGGCACACGCUCACCUCCAGGAAGCUGAACAGUGACGGCAGCAUAGUCGAUUCCGUCUUUCUCUUCGAAUUUGAUGGUGCCAUCGGAGGAUACUU